AUUGAACGCUGGCGGCAUGCCUUACACAUGCAAGUCGAACGGCAGCAUGGAGAGCUUGCUCUCUGAUAGCGAGUGGCGAACGGGUGAGUAAAGCAUCGGAACGUACCGUGUAGUGGGGGAUAACGUAGCGAAAGUUACGCUAAUACCGCAUACGCACUGAGGUGGAAAGCAGGGGAUCGUAAGACCUUGCGCUAUACGAGCGGCCGAUGUAAGAUUAGCUAGUUGGUAGGGUAAAGGCCUACCAAGGCGACGAUCUGUAGCGGGUCUGAGAGGAUGAUCCGCCACACUGGGACUGAGACACGGCCCAGACUCCCACGGGAGGCAGCAGUGGGGAAUUUUGGACAAUGGGGGCAGCCCUGAUCCAGCCAUGCCGCGUGAGUGAAGAAGGCCUUCGGGUUGUAAAGCUCUUUCGGCCGGGAAGAAAUCGCACAGGCUAAUACCCUGUGUGGAUGACGGUACCGGCAUAAGAAGCACCGGCUAACUACGUGCCAGCCGCCGCAGUAA
This 504-nucleotide ribosomal RNA is filed under the name uncultured bacterium. RNAcentral describes it as "partial 16S ribosomal RNA". It matches the Rfam family "Bacterial small subunit ribosomal RNA", at positions 30 to 523 of the family's 1533-position model. The record is from RNAcentral.